UCUCAUGACCCUGAGAUCAUAACCUGAGCUGAAACCAAGAAUUGGGUGCUUAACUGAGUGAGCCACCCAGGAGCCCCUACCUUCUUUAUUUUCUAAAGAUCAUCUAUUUACAUUUAUUGGCUCAGAGAAGAUAUCACAGUCUUCCUUAGAACUUAUAAAGCUGACGUACUCUCCUAAUAUUCUAACUGGCUAUCAGUGUAUUUCUCUGUGUGCUUCAGUAUUUGAAAGUUCUUCAUAAUUCCUUCUGUACGUUAUGGUAAGAGUUUUCAUAAUAACCAUUAAUCAUUGUUUUGCUCUGUCAAUGAAAUUUUGAUGUUUCACUUCACGUCACACCUCAAAUGUGUACCUACAUUUGAAAGUGAAUAUGCAGGUAUUAAUAACAAAUUCAGAUGAGGAGUCCAGUUCUCAUUUCCGACAGUGUGGCACUGUGUGCAGUCGCCAUCAACCGACGUGAUCAUUCCACCCCAGAGGGGCCGGCGACGCCUUGAGUGGCCCUGGGUGUGCGGGCGCCGAGAGCCUGCCCUCGGUUUGGGAACCAGCGCCUAUUGGCCUCACACCUCCUCAAGGGUCUCUACCUCAAACUCAACCGGCCUAGGCUGUGCUUCUGAUACCUCUCCAUCCUGAUCCUGGGAUCACAACAAUCCUCCAGUGUCUGCUUUCAAGCUAUUUCCAGAAAUCCGACACUUCUCACCACCUCCAUUCCUACCACUCCUGUGUGAGCCAGCAUCAUCUCUCACUGGGACUGUUGCCUCGAAGCCGGGCUCCUUUCUUCUGCUCUUCCCACUCCUGAUGAGUCUCAACACGGCAGUCAGAGAAGUCUUCGAAAGCGUAAUUGAUGUCCAAAGCCUGCAGUGGCUCCCAUCUCAGUCAGUCAGAGCCGUCCUCCGAAAGGCCUUCGUCAUUAGGCCCUUGAACUUCUGUGACCUCCCGACCUCCACAUCCCCCCCUUCACUUCCCACGCAGACCUUGCAGUUCCCAGAACACCCUGUCACCCUCCUGCCUGAGGGCCUGUCACUGUGGGUUCUCUCCGCUUGCACAGCCCUUCCUCCAGGUACCUGCAUGCAUGGCUAACCCCCCUCCUUCAGAUCUUCGCUUGGUUAACAUCGGCUCAUACAGCCUCCUGGGCGCGUGCCCCCGCCCCCGCACUCACACUCUCCUUCCUUUAGCUACUUUCUUUUUUGCUGUCAAUGUAUUACCUUUGGACCUACUCUGCGAUUUACUUAUUCAUUUGUUGAUUUUUGUUGUCUUUCUUCUUCAGCUAGAAGGUAAAUUCAAAGGUCAGGAGCCUUAUCUGUUUGGUGCACCAAUGUACUGUGAGGACCUGAAACAGUGUUCAGCACGUAGUCAUUACACAUUUGUUGCUUACUUAAUGCAUGAAACGUUGAAUUGAGUCUUUGGCUUUUCUGCUUUCCAAAGGCUGACGCUGAAGAGUGAUAUUUUUUUUAAGAUUUAUUUAUUUAUUUAUUUAUUUAUUUAUUUAUUUAUUUAUUUAUUUAUGAUAGACACAGAGAGAGAGAGAGAGGCAGAGACACAGGAGGAGGGAGAAGCAGGCUCCACACUGGGAGCCCGACGCGGGACUCGAUCCCGGGACCCCAGGAUUGCGCCCUGGGCCAAAGGCAGGUGCCAAACCGCUGAGCCACCCAGGGAUCCCCCCAAGAGUGAUAUUUUGGACAACAAAGGCCAACGAUGAGGUUCAGUGCAUUCCCCCCCCCCCCCCCCAGUGCCUGUAUACAGGUCCCUUCCAGUCCCACUGACACAUGUCUUGGGGUGAGAAGCCUCGACUACUUUUUUUUUUUUCUUUUAAUGAAAGUCACACACACACACACACACACACACACACACACAGAGGGAUCCCCUCGACUACUUAUCUUAACUUGAAUCUGCUUUGUCUUUUUCCAAGGCCAAAAUCACCUUCCUGGGACUUUAUUUUAUUUUAUUUAUUUUAUUUUAUUUUAUUUUAUGAUA
Long non-coding RNA from Canis lupus familiaris (dog), 1965 nucleotides. RefSeq lists it as uncharacterized. NCBI's taxonomy places the organism in Eukaryota, Metazoa, Chordata, Mammalia, Carnivora, Canidae. The transcript has 3 exons. The record is from RefSeq and is a predicted model, not a curated record.